RNAcentral lists this ribosomal RNA (387 nucleotides) under Nannoperca vittata. RNAcentral's name for it is "partial 12S ribosomal RNA". It matches the Rfam family "Bacterial small subunit ribosomal RNA", at positions 794 to 1384 of the family's 1533-position model. The record is from RNAcentral. Lineage: Eukaryota; Metazoa; Chordata; Actinopteri; Centrarchiformes; Percichthyidae.
GCUUAGCCUUAAACAUUGGUAGCAAAAUACACCCGCUACCCGCCUGGGAACUACGAGCAUCAGCUUGAAACCCAAAGGACUUGGCGGUGCUUUAGACCCACCUAGAGGAGCCUGUCCUAGAACCGAUAACCCCCGUUCAACCUCACCUUUUCUUGUUUAUCCCGCCUAUAUACCGCCGUCGUCAGCUUACCCUGUGAAGGACCUAUAGUAAGCAAAAUUGGCACAACCCAAAACGUCAGGUCGAGGUGUAGCGUAUGGAAAGGGAAGAGAUGGGCUACAUUCCCUAAUGCAGCGAAUACGAAUGAUGAACUGAAACACUCAUCCGAAGGAGGAUUUAGCAGUAAGCAGAAAGUAGAGAGUUCUGCUGAAACCGGCCCUGAAGCGCGC